CAAGUUAAAUUUUAAGAAAUAUGGAUUAUUUACAAUAAUCUCAUCGGUUUGUGCAAUUCAACCUAACUUGA
This 71-nucleotide transfer RNA is filed under the name Stenophyella macreta. RNAcentral's name for it is "tRNA-Val". Lineage: Eukaryota; Metazoa; Arthropoda; Insecta; Hemiptera; Pachygronthidae. The record is from RNAcentral.